Molecule: ribosomal RNA, 496 nt
Filed under: uncultured bacterium
Lineage: Bacteria
Description: partial 16S ribosomal RNA
Rfam family: Bacterial small subunit ribosomal RNA
Source: RNAcentral
AUGAACGCUGGCGGCGUGCCUAAUACAUGCAAGUCGAGCGAACGGACGAGAAGCUUGCUUCUCUGAUGUUAGCGGCGGACGGGUGAGUAACACGUGGAUAACCUACCUAUAAGACUGGGAUAACUUCGGGAAACCGUAGCUAAUACCGGAUAAUAUUUUGAACCGCAUGGUUCAAAAGUGGAAGACGGUCUUGCUGUCACUUAUAGAUGGAUCCGCGCUGCAUUAGCUAGUUGGUAAGGUAACGGCUUACCAAGGCAACGAUGCAUAGCCGACCUGAGAGGGUGAUCGGCCACACUGGAACUGAGACACGGUCCAGACUCCUACGGGAGGCAGCAGUAGGGAAUCUUCCGCAAUGGGCGAAAGCCUGACGGAGCAACGCCGCGUGAGUGAUGAAGGUCUUCGGAUCGUAAAACUCUGUUAUUAGGGAAGAACAUAUGUGUAAGUAACUGUGCACAUCUUGACGGUACCUAAUCAGAAAGCCACGGCUAACUACGUG